UACGUAGGUCCCGAGCGUUGUCCGGAUUUAUUGGGCGUAAAGCGAGCGCAGGUGGUUUAUUAAGUCUGGUGUAAAAGGCAGUGGCUCAACCAUUGUAUGCAUUGGAAACUGGUAGACUUGAGUGCAGGAGAGGAGAGUGGAGUUCCAUGUGUAGCGGUGAAAUGCGUAGAUAUAUGGAGGAACACCGGUGGCGAAAGCGGCUCUCUGGCUUGUAACUGACACUGAGGCUCGAAAGCGUGGGGAGCAAACAGG
RNAcentral lists this ribosomal RNA (252 nucleotides) under uncultured bacterium. RNAcentral's name for it is "partial 16S ribosomal RNA". It matches the Rfam family "Bacterial small subunit ribosomal RNA", at positions 524 to 776 of the family's 1533-position model. The record is from RNAcentral.